AUGCUUUUGUGGUAUUAAAGCAUGCAGAUGAACUGCGCAUAGGGAGGAUAAUGACGGGCGUCGAUUUUUCAGUUGCCAAAACUUUCAGGCUGGACAUUCUUGCGGAUAUUUUUGUUGGUAUGACCCGGAAAUAUCACAAUAUGGCGAGAAGAAAAUCAACUGUUUAAAAACCGAAAUUGAAAAGAUACAAUUAGCAAUGGAUGUCCAAACAACUCGACAUCGACUAGAAAUAGAGAUUGAGAGGCGCAAGAGAAAUGUUGAGAGAGUCAUUGUAGUUUUAGUAAUUUCAAUGUCAUGGGUACUUUGUUUAGGCUUAUUUUUUGGAAAAUUCUAAGACAAUAUGUAAUCUUUGAAGUUAAUUUCAAUGUCAUGGGUACUUUGUUUAGGCUUGUUUUGAA
Long non-coding RNA from Juglans microcarpa x Juglans regia, 398 nucleotides. RefSeq lists it as uncharacterized. The transcript has 2 exons. Lineage: Eukaryota; Viridiplantae; Streptophyta; Magnoliopsida; Fagales; Juglandaceae. The record is from RefSeq and is a predicted model, not a curated record.